RNAcentral lists this ribosomal RNA (468 nucleotides) under uncultured bacterium. RNAcentral describes it as "partial 16S ribosomal RNA". It matches the Rfam family "Bacterial small subunit ribosomal RNA", at positions 28 to 507 of the family's 1533-position model. The record is from RNAcentral.
GACGAACGCUGGCGGCGUGCUUAACACAUGCAAGUCGAACGGAAAGGCCCUGCUUUUGUGGGGUGCUCGAGUGGCGAACGGGUGAGUAACACGUGAGUAACCUGCCCUUGACUUUGGGAUAACUUCAGGAAACUGGGGCUAAUACCGGAUAGGAGCUCCUGCUGCAUGGUGGGGGUUGGAAAGUUUCGGCGGUUGGGGAUGGACUCGCGGCUUAUCAGCUUGUUGGUGGGGUAGUGGCUUACCAAGGCUUUGACGGGUAGCCGGCCUGAGAGGGUGACCGGCGUCAUUGGGGCUGAGAUACGGACCUGACUGCGACAGGAGGCAGCAGUGGGGAAUAGUGCACGAUGGGCGGGGGCCUGAUGCAUGAGCGCCACGUGCGGGAAGACGGCGUUUAGGUGAGAAACCGCUGUCGCCUGUGACGAAGCGUGACUGACGGUAAUGAAUAAGACAGCACCGGCUAGCUACGUG